GAUGAACGCUGGCGGCGUGCCUAAUACAUGCAAGUCGAGCGAACGGACGAGAAGCUUGCUUCUCUGAUGUUAGCGGCGGACGGGUGAGUAACACGUGGAUAACCUACCUAUAAGACUGGGAUAACUUCGGGAAACCGGAGCUAAUACCGGAUGAUAUUUUGAACCGCAUGGUUCAAAAGUGAAAGACGGUCUUGCUGUCACUUAUAGAUGGAUCCGCGCUGCAUUAGCUAGUUGGUAAGGUAACGGCUUACCAAGGCAACGAUGCAUAGCCGACCUGAGAGGGUGAUCGGCCACAUGGGAACUGAGACGCGGUCCAGACUCCUACGGGAGGCAGCAGUAGGGAAUCUUCCGCAAUGGGCGAAAGCCUGACGGAGCGACGCCGCGUGAGUGAUGAAGGUCUUCGGAUCGUAAAACUCUGUUAUUAGGGAAGAACAUAUGUGUAAGUAACUGUGCACAUCUUGACGGUACCUAAUAAGAAAGCCACGGCUAACUACGUG
This 497-nucleotide ribosomal RNA is filed under the name uncultured bacterium. RNAcentral's name for it is "partial 16S ribosomal RNA". It matches the Rfam family "Bacterial small subunit ribosomal RNA", at positions 28 to 507 of the family's 1533-position model. The record is from RNAcentral.